Molecule: ribosomal RNA, 473 nt
Filed under: Haploniscus sp. 2 SB-2021a
Lineage: Eukaryota; Metazoa; Arthropoda; Malacostraca; Isopoda; Haploniscidae
Description: partial 16S ribosomal RNA
Rfam family: Bacterial large subunit ribosomal RNA
Source: RNAcentral
UUCUAAUUUCAAAAUUAGUAGGCCCCGCUCAUUGAGCAUAUUUAACAGCCGCAGUAUAUUAACUGUGCUAAGGUAGCAUAAUAAUUAGGUCUUUAAUAAAGAUCUAGAAUGAUAGGGUUGAUGAUUUCUAAGCUUUCUCGUUUAAAAAGAGAAGUUUAUUUUUAAGUAAAAAAGCUUAGCUUUCUAGAGGGACGAUAAGACCCUGUAAAGCUUUACCCUGCGGCAAGUUUCUAAAAGAAAGGAACAGGUAAACGGGUUAAGCUGGGGCGGCAAUUAAAGUACCUUAAUUUAAGUAACGAGGUUUUCGGGACGGGAGAUCUUUAUAGAGUUAGAAUAAGCUACUUUAGGGAUAACAGCGCAAUUUUUUUAAAGAGAUCUUAUCGAUAAAAAAGACUUGCGACCUCGAUGUUGAAUUGAGGGUCCUAAACUAGGCAGCAUUAGUUUCAGGGAGUCUGUUCGACUUUUAAUUCCUC